GCCGGGCAUGGUGGCACGUGCCUGUAAUCCCAGUUACUUAGGAGGCUGAGGUAGGAGAAUCACCUGAGCCCAGGAGGUCGAGGCUGCAGUGAGCCAAGAUUGUGCCACUGCACUCUAGCCUGGGUGACAAAGUGAGACCCUGUUUCAG
Molecule: non-coding RNA, 148 nt
Organism: Pan troglodytes (chimpanzee)
Lineage: Eukaryota; Metazoa; Chordata; Mammalia; Primates; Hominidae
Rfam family: Metazoan signal recognition particle RNA
About the family: The signal recognition particle (SRP) is a universally conserved ribonucleoprotein. It is involved in the co-translational targeting of proteins to membranes. The eukaryotic SRP consists of a 300-nucleotide 7S RNA and six proteins: SRPs 72, 68, 54, 19, 14, and 9.
Source: Rfam